GUGUCAGCAGCCGCGGUAAGACGGAGGGUGCUAGCGUUGUUCGGAUUUACUGGGCGUAAAGGGCGCGUAGGCGGCCUUCUCAGUCGGGUGUGAAAGCCCGGGGCUCAACCCCGGAACGGCACCCGAGACGGGUUGGCUGGAGACCGGGAGAGGAGGGUGGAAUAGCCAGUGUAGAGGUGAAAUUCGUAGAUAUUGGCUGGAACACCGGUGGCGAAAGCGGCUCUCUGGCCCGGUUCUGACGCUGAGGCGCGAAAGCGUGGGGAGCAAACAGGAUUAGAAACCCUUGUAGUCC
RNAcentral lists this ribosomal RNA (292 nucleotides) under uncultured bacterium. RNAcentral's name for it is "partial 16S ribosomal RNA". It matches the Rfam family "Bacterial small subunit ribosomal RNA", at positions 505 to 796 of the family's 1533-position model. The record is from RNAcentral.